UACGUAGGGUGCGAGCGUUAAUCGGAAUUACUGGGCGUAAAGCGUGCGCAGGCGGUGAUGUAAGACCGAUGUGAAAUCCCCGGGCUUAACCUGGGAACUGCAUUGGUGACUGCAUCGCUCGAGUAUGGCAGAGGGGGGUAGAAUUCCACGUGUAGCAGUGAAAUGCGUAGAUAUGCGGAGGAACACCGAUGGCGAAGGCAAUCCCCUGGGCCUGCACUGACGCUCAUGCACGAAAGCGUGGGGAGCAAACAGG
RNAcentral lists this ribosomal RNA (253 nucleotides) under uncultured bacterium. RNAcentral's name for it is "partial 16S ribosomal RNA". It matches the Rfam family "Bacterial small subunit ribosomal RNA", at positions 524 to 776 of the family's 1533-position model. The record is from RNAcentral.